This is a small nucleolar RNA of Mus pahari (shrew mouse), 143 nucleotides long. RefSeq annotates it as small nucleolar RNA SNORA48. The record is from RefSeq and is a predicted model, not a curated record. The transcript has a single exon. Lineage: Eukaryota; Metazoa; Chordata; Mammalia; Rodentia; Muridae.
CUCCCCAGCGAUGGGCAAAGAGACACGUUGCUGGGCGUGUUGUUCUUAUAUCAGUAAAGGGAAGAGCAGAUGGCAAUUCUUUGUUCAUCCUAGCUUGAUGCCUGGCUUGGUGUCUAAAGCUGUUUCACGACUAGUGCACAUUA